GGUGGAUAACGCAUCGAAAGAUGUGCUAAUACAGCAUAAUCUCUGAGGAGGAAAGGCGGGGACCUUCGGGCCUGUCGCUGAAAGAGCGGCCGAUGGCUGAUUAGCUAGUUGGAGGGGUAAAAGCCCACCAAGGCGAUGAUCAGUAGCUGUUCUGAGAGGAAGAUCAGCCACACUGGGACUGAGACACGGCCCAGACUCCUACGGGAGGCAGCAGUGGGGAAUUUUGGACAAUGGGGGGAACCCUGAUCCAGCAACGCCGCGUGAAUGAAGAAGGCCUUCGGGUUGUAAAGUUCUUUUGUCGCAGAGCAAAAGGUAGGUGCUAAUACCACCUGCUGAUGAGAGUAUGCGAAGAAUAAGCACCGGCUAACUACGUG
This 374-nucleotide ribosomal RNA is filed under the name uncultured bacterium. Its description in RNAcentral is "bacterial SSU rRNA". It matches the Rfam family "Bacterial small subunit ribosomal RNA", at positions 138 to 507 of the family's 1533-position model. The record is from RNAcentral.